RNAcentral lists this ribosomal RNA (2969 nucleotides) under Ambystoma mexicanum (axolotl). Its description in RNAcentral is "eukaryotic LSU rRNA". It matches the Rfam family "Eukaryotic large subunit ribosomal RNA", at positions 477 to 3401 of the family's 3401-position model. Lineage: Eukaryota; Metazoa; Chordata; Amphibia; Caudata; Ambystomatidae. The record is from RNAcentral.
AAUGAGGAUCCAUUGGAGGGCACGGCUAGUUCCACUAGCCGUGGUAAUUCCAGCUCCAAUAGUAUAUAUGAAAGCUGCUGCAGUUAAAAAGUAUGUAGUUGUAUCUUGGGAUAGAGCUGGUGGUCCACUGCGAGGUGAGUUGCUGCCUGAUCAGCCCCUGCCUCUUCGCAAUCCCCUUGAUGCUCUUGACUGUUCUAUUUUGUUGUUUUUCAGAACUGCAGCCAUGAUUAAGAUGGACAGCAGUGCGCAUUUCUUCCAUGGUGGGGCAGCAUGACCGGCCCCGGUCAGCUGGGAAGGCCAUGUUGGACAGGUAGCUCUCCGCUCAGGUGGAUAAUGUUACAGGCCCCUUUCUGCAGUUUUGCAGUCUGCAAGGUCAACAGAGAUUGACCGCUGCCACACCCUCCUCUGGCAACCGUACCAGCCCCUCUCAGGGGUCGGAGCACCCUGCUCCUGGUGCGACUGUCGUGCACUAUCCUCAGUGCACCCCAACCGCAUCACGCUGCUGGGCAGGGAGGCCCAUGAAUGGCACCAGGGAUCUGCAGUGAUGUCGGUUACCCACCUGCCCCAUCUUGAAACAUGGACUAAGGAGUGUAAAAAGUGCGCAAGUCAGAGGGCCAAACAAAACCCUGUGGAGUAAUGAAGGAGAGGGCCAGCACAGCAUUGAGGUGGGCCCACCACUGGCCCAUCUCGUCCGCUCUGUCAGGGAGGUGGAGCAUGAUCAUGUGUGAUAGGACCCAAAAUAUGUGAACAAUACCUGGGCUUGGCGAAGCCAGUGGAAAUGCUGGUUGAGGUCUGUAUCAGUCCUGACACACAAAUCGGUCGUCCUACCUGGGUAUAGAGGUGAAAGACUAAUUAAAUCAUCUAGUAGUUGGUUCCCUCUGAAGCUUCUUCUCAGAUAUUCUGGUGCUUGGAAACCCACGUUUUUUGCUUGUAAUGGAAUGAUUAGAGGUCUUAGGGCAAAAUCAAUCUCAACAUAUUCUCAAACUUUAAAUGGGCAAGAAGCCUGCGUUUGCUGGCAUGAAGCCUGGCAUCGAAUGUGAGUAGGAGGGCUGUUGCAGUGCAUGUGCCGCGGCUGCAGGUGUUAGUGGUUGUAGCUAUUAUUCAAACAAGAACUUUGAUGACUGAAGUGGAGAAGGGUUCCAUAUGAACAGCAGGUGAAUAUGGGUCAGUCGGUCCUAAGAGAUAGGCAAGCCCCAUUCGGAAGGGACAGGCGAUGGCCUCCAUUGGUCUCAGCCGAUACAAAGGGAGUUGGGUUCAGAUCCCCAAUCCCAGAGUGGCAGAGACAGGCGCCCUUGUGGUUUCCAGUGCGGUAACGCAAAUGAUCUCAGAAAAGCCAGCGUGAGCCCCGGAGUGAGUUAUUUUUUCUUUGUGAAGAGCAGGGCACCUUAGAAUAGGUUAACCCUGAGAUAGGGGCCCAAGCCUUGGAAAUCAUUGCGGUUCCCACGGCAUCCGGUAAGCUGUCACUUGUCCUUUAAAAUUUCUGGGGAGAUGGUGUAAAUCUCAUGCCUGGAUACACCCAUAUCCUCAGUGAGUCUCCAAGGUGAGCAGCCUCUGGCAUGUUGGAACAAUGUAGGUAAGGGAAGUUGGCAAGUCAGAUCUGUAACUUCAGGAUAAGGAUUGGCUCUAAGGGAUGGGCCAUUCAGGCUACAGUGCGAAACAAGGAAUGGCAUGUGCCACAUCUGGACAAGGUCCCUUCCCUCACAGGUGCCAGUGCCAACUCUGCACGUGAGCCAGGUCCUUCCUGUGGAUCACCCGAGCUGCAGUGCUCACAAUUCUCUGUUCCCCACAUGGGUUUCUAGGCUGGCGUUCGGCCGACACCUAGCAGCUGACUUGGAACUGGUGGCACCAGGUCGAUCUUACUUUUUAAUUAAAACAAAGCACUGCAAAGGCCCACUGCAGUUGUUGACACAAUAUGGUUUCUUCCCAGUGCUGUGAAUGUCAAAGUGAAGAAAUUCAAUCAAGGGAGGGUAAACGGCGGAGUAACUAUGACUCUUGUAAGGUAGCCAAAUGCCUUGUCAUUUAAUUAGUGGCACGUAUGAUUGCAUGAACAAGAUUCCACUGUCCCCACCUAUUAUCUAGCGAAGCCACAGGCAAUGGCCGGGCUUGGCAGAGUCCAGAGGGAAAGGAGACCCUGUUAAGCUUAGCUUAUUGUGAAGGGACAUGUUACAAUAUAUGUAGGAUAAGCGGCAGGCCCUCAGGCCGCCACUUAAAUACCGCUACUCUUAUUGUUUUCUUACCCGGUGAGGCAGGGGACGAACCCUGUGGUGCCCUUGCUUCUGCCUCCAAGCGCUCUGCUCCAGGGACAGUGGCAGGUGGAGUGUUUGACUGGGGCAGUAUACAUAUCAAACGAUAAUGCAGGUGUCCUAAGGCAAGCUCAGGGAGGACAGUAUACUCCAUAGCAGAAAGGUAAACGCUUGCUUGAUCUUGAUUUUAUAAAUACAAACUGUGAAAGUGGGGCCUCCUGAUCCUUCUGAAUUUUUGGGCUUCAAGCAGGUUUCAGAAAAGUUACCACAGGAUAACUGGUUUGUGGUGGCCGAGUGAAGCCACUUUUAAAUCCUUCAAUGUCGGCUCUUCCUGUCAUUGUGAAGCAGAAUUCACCAAGCGUUGGAUUGUUCAUCCACUAAUAGGGAACAUGAGCUGGGUUUAAACUGUUAUGAGAAAGGUUAGUUUUACCCUACUGAUGUAGUGUUGUUGGAAUAGUAAUUCUGCUCAGUACGCGAGGAACCGCAGGUUCAGACAUUUGGUGUAUGUGCUUGGCUGAAGAUCCAAUCGGGCAAAUCUACCAUCUGGGGGAUUAUGACUGAACGCAUCAAAGUCAGAAAACCCCUAAACUGUAACGAUAUUGCAGCACUGCAUAGCUUCAGUUGGCCUAGGAUAGCUGUCCUCUGAGCUGUUGCGCAGAGCCGCUUCCCUCAGGACUCAAGUGUAGACAGAAGGGGGACACCUCUCUCAUCCAUAGUGCCCCACAU